UUAGCUCAGCUGGAUAGAGCAACUGCCUUCUAAGCAGUAGGUCACAGGUUCGAAUCCUGUA
Molecule: transfer RNA, 61 nt
Filed under: bovine gut metagenome
Rfam family: tRNA
About the family: Transfer RNA (tRNA) molecules are approximately 80 nucleotides in length.
Source: RNAcentral